Molecule: transfer RNA, 73 nt
Organism: Selaginella moellendorffii
Lineage: Eukaryota; Viridiplantae; Streptophyta; Lycopodiopsida; Selaginellales; Selaginellaceae
Rfam family: tRNA
About the family: Transfer RNA (tRNA) molecules are approximately 80 nucleotides in length. Their secondary structure includes four short double-helical elements and three loops (D, anti-codon, and T loops).
Source: Rfam
GCCGUCCUAGCUCAGCUGGCAGAGCACGUGGCUUUUAAUCACAUGGUCGUGGGUUCGAACCCCACGGACGGUA